Molecule: ribosomal RNA, 166 nt
Filed under: bacterium st10
Lineage: Bacteria
Description: partial 16S ribosomal RNA
Rfam family: Bacterial small subunit ribosomal RNA
Source: RNAcentral
UGCUUAACACAUGCAAGUCGAGCGGUAAGGCCCUUCGGGGUACACGAGCGGCGAACGGGUGAGUAACACGUGGGUGAUCUGCCCUGCACUUCGGGAUAAGCCUGGGAAACUGGGUCUAAUACCGGAUAUGACCUUCGGCUGCAUGGCUGAGGGUGGAAAGGUUUAC